This 280-nucleotide unclassified non-coding RNA is filed under the name Ascomycota sp. Its description in RNAcentral is "partial contains 5.8S ribosomal RNA, internal transcribed spacer 2, and large subunit ribosomal RNA". The stretch from base 1 to 71 matches the Rfam family "5.8S ribosomal RNA", at positions 84 to 154 of the family's 154-position model. Lineage: Eukaryota; Fungi; Ascomycota. The record is from RNAcentral.
GUGAGUCAUCGAAUCUUUGAACGCACAUUGCGCCCCUUGGUAUUCCGAGGGGCAUGCCUAUUCGAGCGUCAUUAUCACCCCUCAAGCUUUAGCUUGGUGUUGAGGCCUGCUGUCAAGGCAGCCUCUAAAAUCAGUGGCAGUGCUGUCAGGCUCUAAGCGUAGUAAAAUUCAUCGCUAUAGACACCUGGUGGACACUCGCCAGAACCCCCCAUUUUUUAAUGAUUGACCUCGGAUUAGGUAGGGAUACCCGCUGAACUUAAGCAUAUCAAUAAGCGGAGGA